AGUGAACGCUGGCGGCGUGCUUAACACAUGCAAGUCGAACGAGAACGGAUUAUAGCUUGCUAUAAUUGUCAGCUAAGUGGCGCACGGGUGAGUAAUGUAUAGGUAAUAUGCCUCUUACUAAGGGAUAACAAAUGGAAAAGUUUGCUAAUACCUUAUACUCCUUAUUAACAGAAGUUAAUAAGGGAAAGAUUUAUUGGUAAGAGAUUAGCCUGUAUUGUAUCAGUUAGUUGGUGGGGUAAAAGCUUACCAAGGCUAUGACGCCUAGGAGAGGUGAGAGCCUGACCUCCACCGAUGGGACUGAGACACGGCCCAUACACCUACGGGUGGCUGCAGUCGAGAAUAUUCCGCAAUGGACGCAAGUCUGACGGAGUGACGCCGCGUGACCGAUGAAGAGCUUCGGUUUGUAAAGGUCUUUUAUGUAGGAGGAACGAUGACUGUACUACAUGAAUAAGGGGUUGCCAAACUCGUGCCAGCCGCCGCUGUAA
This 485-nucleotide ribosomal RNA is filed under the name uncultured bacterium. RNAcentral's name for it is "partial 16S ribosomal RNA". It matches the Rfam family "Bacterial small subunit ribosomal RNA", at positions 29 to 523 of the family's 1533-position model. The record is from RNAcentral.